UACGUAGGGCGCAAGCGUUAUCCGGAAUUAUUGGGCGUAAAGAGCUCGUAGGCGGUUUGUCGCGUCUGCCGUGAAAGUCCGGGGCUUAACCCCGGAUCUGCGGUGGGUACGGGCAGACUAGAGUGCAGUAGGGGAGACUGGAAUUCCUGGUGUAGCGGUGAAAUGCGCAGAUAUCAGGAGGAACACCGAUGGCGAGGGCAGGUCUCUGGGCUGUAACUGACGCUGAGGAGCGAAAGCAUGGGGAGCGAACAGG
This 253-nucleotide ribosomal RNA is filed under the name uncultured bacterium. RNAcentral's name for it is "partial 16S ribosomal RNA". It matches the Rfam family "Bacterial small subunit ribosomal RNA", at positions 524 to 776 of the family's 1533-position model. The record is from RNAcentral.